Molecule: ribosomal RNA, 415 nt
Filed under: uncultured bacterium
Lineage: Bacteria
Description: bacterial SSU rRNA
Rfam family: Bacterial small subunit ribosomal RNA
Source: RNAcentral
AGAGUUUGAUCCUGGCUCAGAAUCAACGCUGGCGGCGCGCUUAACACAUGCAAGUCGAACGAGAAAGCGGGGGCAACCUCGUGAGUAAAGUGGCGUACGGGUGAGUAACACGUGGGUAAUCUACCUCUUGGUGUGGAAUAACGCUGGGAAACCGGCGCUAAUACCGCAUAAGCUCGGGAGAGGAAAGCAGCAAUGCGCCGAGAGAGGAACCCGCGGCCGAUUAGCUAGUUGGUGAGGUAACGGCCCACCAAGGCAAAGAUCGGUAGCCGGCCUGAGAGGGCACACGGCCACACUGGCACUGAAACACGGGCCAGACUCCUACGGGAGGCAGCAGUGGGGAAUCUUGCACAAUGGGGGCAACCCUGAUGCAGCGACGCCGCGUGAGCGAUGAAGCCCUUCGGGGUGUAAAGCUCUU